GUUGCAGUUAAAAGCUCGUAGUUGAACCUUGGGCCUGGCUGGCCGGUCCGCCUCACCGCGUGCACUGGUCCGGCCGGGCCUUUCCCUCUGGGGAACCGCAUGCCCUUCACUGGGUGUGUCGGGGAACCAGGACUUUUACUUUGAACAAAUUAGAUCGCUUAAAGAAGGCCUAUGCUCGAAUACAUUAGCAUGGAAUAAUAGAAUAGGACGUGUGGUUCUAUUUUGUUGGUUUCUAGGACCGCCGUAAUGAUUAAUAGGGACAGUCGGGGGCAUCAGUAUUCAAUUGUCAGAGGUGAAAUUCUUGGAUUAAUUGAAGACUAACUACUGCGAAAGCAUUUGCCAAGGAUGUUUUCAUUAAUCAGGAACGAAAGUUAGGGGAUCGAAGACGAUCAGAUACCGUCGUAGUCUUAACCAUAAACUAUGCCGACUAGGGAUCGGACGAUGUUAUAUUUUGACUCGUUCGGCACCUUACACGAAAGUAAAGUUUCUGGGUUCUGGGGGGAGUAUGGUCGCAAGGCUGAAACUUAAAGAAAUUGACGGAAGGGCACCACCAGGGGUGGAGCCUGCGGCUUAAUUUGACUCAACACGGGGAAACUCACCAGGUCCAGACACAAGUAGGAUUGACAGAUUGAGAGCUCUUUCUUGAUUUUGUGGGUGGUGGUGCAUGGCCGUUCUUAGUUGGUGGAGUGAUUUGUCUGCUUAAUUGCGAUAACGAACGAGACCUUAACCUGCUAAAUAGCCCGUAUUGCUUUGGCAGUACGCUGGCUUCUUAGAGGGACUAUCGGCUCAAGCCGAUGGAGUUUGAGCAUACAGUCUGUGAUGCCCUUAGAUGUCUGGGCCGCACGCGCGCUACACUGAC
Molecule: ribosomal RNA, 859 nt
Filed under: uncultured fungus
Lineage: Eukaryota; Fungi
Description: SSU rRNA
Rfam family: Eukaryotic small subunit ribosomal RNA
Source: RNAcentral